RNAcentral lists this ribosomal RNA (503 nucleotides) under uncultured bacterium. Its description in RNAcentral is "partial 16S ribosomal RNA". It matches the Rfam family "Bacterial small subunit ribosomal RNA", at positions 28 to 523 of the family's 1533-position model. The record is from RNAcentral.
GUUGAACGCUGGCGGUAGGCUUAACACAUGCAAGUCGAGCGGGGUGGUGGUGCUUGACCUAGCACUUAGCGGCGGACGGGUGAGUAAUGCUUUGGAACCGGCCUAUCAGUGGGGGACAAUACCUCGACAGGGAUGCUAAUACCGCAUACGUCCUACGGGAGAAAGCAGGGGAUCACUAGUGCCAUUGUGCUACUAGAUGAGCCUGGGUCGGAUUAGCUAGUUGGUGGGGUAAAGGCCUGCCAAGGGGAUGAUCUGUGGAGGGUCUGAGAGGAUGGUCCGCCGCACUGGGACUGAGACACGGCCCAGACUCAUACGGGAGGCAGGAGUGGGGAAUAGUUGACAAUGGGGGGGACCCUGAUCCAGCAAUGCAGCGUGUGUGAAGAAGGCCUUAUGGUUGUAAAGCACUUUAAGCGAGGAGGAGGCUCUUUUGGUUAAUACCCAAGAUGAGUGGACGUUACUCGCAGAAUGAGCACCGGCUAACUCUGUGCCAGCCGCCGCCGUAA